Molecule: microRNA precursor, 90 nt
Filed under: Glycine max (soybean)
Lineage: Eukaryota; Viridiplantae; Streptophyta; Magnoliopsida; Fabales; Fabaceae
Description: miR1535b stem-loop (gma-MIR1535b)
Source: miRBase by way of RNAcentral
UCUUUGGUGACUUGUUUGUGGUGAUGUCUAGGCCUCUUAGCCUUGAGAGAAAGGAAAGGAACUUGGGAACUUAUCCACAGCAAAUUAUGU